AGUGAACGCUGGCGGCGUGCCUAAUACAUGCAAGUCGAACGGAAUUUAAAAGAGCUUGCUCUUUUAAAUUUAGUGGCGCACGGGUGAGUAAUAUAUAGCUAAUCUGCCCCUUGCUGGAGGACAACAGUUAGAAAUGACUGCUAAUACUCCAUACUCCUUUUUACCAUAAGAUAAAUCGGGAAAGAAUUUCGGCAAGGGAUGAGACUAUAUCGUAUCAGCUAGUCGGUGGGGUAACGGCCUACCGAGGCUAUGACGCGUAACUGGUCUGAGAGGAUGAUCAGUCACAUUGGAACUGAGACACGGUCCAAACUCCUACGGGAGGCAGCAGUAGGGAAUAUUGCGCAAUGGGGGAAACCCUGACGCAGCAACGCCGCGUGGAGGAUGACACUUUUCGGAGCGUAAACUCCUUUUGUUAGGGAAGAAUAAUGACGGACCUAACGAACAAGC
RNAcentral lists this ribosomal RNA (447 nucleotides) under Campylobacter gracilis. RNAcentral describes it as "bacterial SSU rRNA". It matches the Rfam family "Bacterial small subunit ribosomal RNA", at positions 29 to 491 of the family's 1533-position model. Lineage: Bacteria; Pseudomonadati; Campylobacterota; Epsilonproteobacteria; Campylobacterales; Campylobacteraceae. The record is from RNAcentral.